AUAUCAUUCAAGUUUCUGACCUAUCAGCUUUAGACGGUAGGGUAUUGGCCUACCGUGGCUAUGACGGGUAACGGGGAAUUAGGGUUCGAUUCCGGAGAGGGAGCCUGAGAAACGGCUACCACAUCUAAGGAAGGCAGCAGGCGCGCAAAUUACCCAAUCCUAAUACAGGGAGGUAGUGACAAGAAAUAACAAUACAGAACCUUACGGUUUUGUAAUUGGAAUGAGUUAAGUAUAAACCCCUUAACAAGUAUCAAUUGGAGGGCAAGUCUGGUGCCAGCAGCCGCGGUAAUUCCAGCUCCAAUAGCGUAUAUUAAAGUUGUUGCAGUUAAAAAGCUCGUAGUUAAUCUUCUGUUAAUUUUUAUAUAUAAUAUCUCGAUAUUUAUAUAAUAUUAACAUAAUUCAUAUUACUUUUUAGUAUAUGAAACUUUACUUUGAGAAAAUUAGAGUGCUUAAAGCAGGCUAUUGCCUUGAAUACUCCAGCAUGGAAUAAUAUUAAGGAUUUUUAUUCUUCUUAUUGGUUCUAGAAUAAAAAUGAUGAUUAAUAGGAACAGUUGGGGGCAUUUGUAUUUAACAGUCAGAGGUGAAAUUCUUAGAUUUGUUAAAGACAAACUACUGCGAAAGCAUUUGCCAAGGAUGUUUUCAUUAAUCAAGAACGAAAGUUAGGGGAUCGAAGACGAUCAGAUACCGUCGUAGUCUUAACCAUAAACUAUGCCAACUAGAGAUUGGAGGUUGU
Molecule: ribosomal RNA, 733 nt
Filed under: Cryptosporidium xiaoi
Lineage: Eukaryota; Apicomplexa; Conoidasida; Eucoccidiorida; Cryptosporidiidae
Description: SSU rRNA
Rfam family: Eukaryotic small subunit ribosomal RNA
Source: RNAcentral